Molecule: long non-coding RNA, 2029 nt
Organism: Equus caballus (horse)
Lineage: Eukaryota; Metazoa; Chordata; Mammalia; Perissodactyla; Equidae
Source: Ensembl
UUUGAAGAGCUAGGAGAAAGGUCCUCUUGGCUAAGCCCAGGUCUUGUGACUGGCUCCUGGCUGUUCCAGGCACUAAAAGGAAGGAUCUGGCUGACAAGACCCUUCAGCAUUUGUUACUGAAGGUUUCCACCUGCAUUUUCUUUCCACCCAAACUACCCACGGCGGAGGACAAGCAAUGCGCCCAAAUGGAAUCACGGUGCUGUCAGGAGGGACUGUGAGCGCUUGGAGACCACAGAGUGCCAAAGGUUUAUUCUAACUUUUCUUCAUUUGAUAGUGGUUCACUAAUUAGCACUCUCUGGCAAUGGCCAUUCAGCCAGAAAGAGAUCUACUCAAUUGUCCAGGAACAUAGAUCCAUCUGCCCCACCAAGAUGUGUUAACAAACUGACAAAUAGCCUUGCUGAAAUGCAGGAUUGGUGGUGCAAACUAGGGAAAAGAAAUCUGGAGGAUGAGUUGAGUUGCUCUGAAAAAGAUCAGAAAGGGAAAUGGAAGACCUCCUGCCAUCUGAAGAAAUCUGAGAGGGAGAGAAGAAGAUGAAGGCAAGAAAAGGCAGGUUCUUCUAGUCAUGAUCAAUGGAAAUAAUGAGCCAGCACCAUAUCAUGGGCACACGCAAGCAGCUUGUGGAGAGGUCCCCGCAGUAAGGAACUGAGGUCUCCUACCAAUAACAGGCACUGACUCCCCAGCCAUGUGAUGGAGCCACCUUGGAAAUGGAUCCUGCAGCCCAGUCAAGCCUUUGGACGAAUGCAGCUCCAACUGACAUCUUGACCAUAACCUUAUGAGAGAUCCUGAGCCAGACCCACCAGAUAAGCCACUCUCAAAUUCCUAAACUACAGGAAACAUAAGUAUAAUAAAUAUUUAUUGUUGCUUUAAGCCAUUAAGUUUUGGAGUAAUUUGUUACACAGUAGUAGCUAACUAAUGGAGUCCUAGUGGUAUUGACCUGCAGCCCCCCAUAGCUGUACACUUCUCAUCAACCCCUUCCCUGUGCUGCCUUAGAUCACCUCCAAAGAAAACCACCUGCGUUCAAAAUCUUAUCUCAGGGUUUGCUUUUGGAAUCGAAGAAAUCCCAGAGAAGGUAAAUAUUAUUAUUAUCCUCAUUUUAGGGAUGAGAAAAAACACACGUAGGUUAGAGUUACACAGCAAAUAGUGGCAGAACAGAGGUUUUCUGAGUCCUCAUCCACUGCUUCCUGUUUCAUCACAGCGGCUUCUCCCUCCCACCCCAAUCCUUUCCAAUUUCAAGCAAUCUCUCUUCUCUCCCCAAGAACACUGUUAAUUUGCUCAUUCGCUGUGGACCGAGACACUCAUCAUAACCACAAAAUUUAAAAACCAAUCUAAGCAAAUUCAGUAACAAAAGCAGGAACUUUGAGUCACUCAAGUCUCAGUGCAUUUAUUUUUCCUAAUGAUACCUACACACAGCAGGGAGAAAUAAUUAGCAAAUUAAUGGGUUAUUCCUCUGUUGACAUUCAUGCAAAGGCUAGAUGUGACUCCCUUGUUCUAUGUCUUACAGGCUCUGGCCUGAAACUGCUGACCAACAUCACUGGUAAUUUAUUGAAGUUAUGAACAAAUGCCCGUGCUGCGUGGGCAAGAAAUAAAGAUGAAGCCUAAAUUUGCUAUGCUUUCUGUUCUGAUCAAAUAAAAUGUACAGCCAACUUCAUCUGUCAGAUAUUUAAUCAUAAUCAUUAUUGUGCUAUGUGGUAAUUAGGCAUAAAUGGAACAUAAAUGACUCUUGAUAGCACCAUUUUAUAUAUCAAACUGUAAUUUUUGUGUUUUUCUUCUCCCUUUGACAGUUUUCCAGUACCCAUCUCUACUCAGUGUCACUGUGGUUGGUUUCCCCUGAGUCAGAGUGGUCGAAGAGAAACAUAUGGGCUUUGGAACCCGACAAAUCACUCAGGCUGUAUUACCUUGAUCAAGUCACUUUACAUCUCUGGGCCUCUUGUAUAAAAUGGAGAUGAGGCCUCUCCAGUAGGAUUGCUAUGAGAAUCAAAUGAGAAGCUGAAAAGCAAUGACGGGCAAAGUGUUCAUAUGCAGUAGGUGC